AGAAUCAACGCUGGCGGCGUGCCUAACACAUGCAAGUCGAACGAGAAAGUGGAGCAAUCCAUGAGUAAAGUGGCGCACGGGUGAGUAACACGUGACUAACCUACCCUUGAGUGGGGGAUAACCUCGGGAAACCGGGGCUAAUACCGCAUAAUAUCGAGAGAUCAAAGGAGCAAUUCGCUUAAGGAGGGGGUCGCGGCUGAUUAGCUAGUUGGUGAGGUAAUGGCUCACCAAGGCUAUGAUCAGUAUCCGGCCUGAGAGGGCGCACGGACACACUGGAACUGAAACACGGUCCAGACUCCUACGGGAGGCAGCAGUGGGGAAUUUUGCGCAAUGGGGGAAACCCUGACGCAGCAACGCCGCGUGGAGGAUGAAGUCCCUUGGGACGUAAACUCCUUUCGAUCGGGACGAUUAUGACGGUACCGGAAGAAGAAGCCCCGGCUAACUUCGCGCCAGCAGCCGC
Molecule: ribosomal RNA, 460 nt
Filed under: uncultured bacterium
Lineage: Bacteria
Description: SSU rRNA
Rfam family: Bacterial small subunit ribosomal RNA
Source: RNAcentral